AGUGAACGCUGGCGGUAGGCCUAACACAUGCAAGUCGAACGGCAGCACAGUAAGAGCUUGCUCUUACGGGUGGCGAGUGGCGGACGGGUGAGGAAUACAUCGGAAUCUACUUUUUCGUGGGGGAUAACGUAGGGAAACUUACGCUAAUACCGCAUACGACCUACGGGUGAAAGCAGGGGAUCUUCGGACCUUGCGCGAUUGAAUGAGCCGAUGUCGGAUUAGCUAGUUGGCGGGGUAAAGGCCCACCAAGGCGACGAUCCGAAGCUGGUCUGAGAGGAUGAUCAGCCACACUGGAACUGAGACACGGUCCAGACUCCUACGGGAGGCAGCAGUGGGGAAUAUUGGACAAUGGGCGCAAGCCUGAUCCAGCCAUACCGCGUGGGUGAAGAAGGCCUUCGGGUUGUAAAGCCCUUUUGUUGGGAAAGAAAAGCAGCAGGUUAAUACCCCGCUGUCCUGACGGUACCCAAAGAAUAAGCACCGGCUAACUUCGUG
RNAcentral lists this ribosomal RNA (492 nucleotides) under uncultured bacterium. RNAcentral's name for it is "partial 16S ribosomal RNA". It matches the Rfam family "Bacterial small subunit ribosomal RNA", at positions 29 to 507 of the family's 1533-position model. The record is from RNAcentral.